This 90-nucleotide non-coding RNA is filed under the name Canis lupus familiaris (dog). RNAcentral's name for it is "microRNA cfa-mir-222 precursor". Its record names the gene cfa-mir-222. The stretch from base 4 to 83 matches the Rfam family "mir-221 microRNA precursor family". RNAcentral also lists the same sequence under 2 other names. The record is from miRBase by way of RNAcentral. Lineage: Eukaryota; Metazoa; Chordata; Mammalia; Carnivora; Canidae.
CCCUCAAUGGCUCAGUAGCCAGUGUAGAUCCUGUCUUUUGUAAUCAGUAGCUACAUCUGGCUACUGGGUCUCUGAUGGCAUCUUCUAGCU